UGAGAGGUCCCAGAUACGUCUGCGGUUCCUGCUCCGCCACCCUACGCCAUUCUCCCGCAAGUCUUGGAGCCGGGUGCGGAAGGAGGGAACGGCCCUAGCCUUGGGAAGCCAGAGCACACCCCUGGCUCCUGCCGACACUGCCCUCCUUCCCUUCCCAGCCGCCGGCCUCGCUCGGUGCUAGGCUACUCUGCCGGGAGGCGACGGCGGCUGCCAGUCUGUGGAGAGUCCUGCUGCCCUCCAGCCAGGUUCCUCCAGCCGGGCUCCUCCAGCCGGGCUCCUCCAGCCGGGCUCCUCCACCGGGCCUUGCAGGGGCCGAGAGAGCUCGGCGCCCGCCCUUCCGCGCGUCUUUUUCGUCAGCCGGCCGGAGCAGCAUCGGUCUGGGAGGUCUCUGGGCUGCGGCGGCGCCAGCUCCUCUAGUUCCACCAUGUCCGCGGGCGGAGACUUCGGGAAUCCGCUGACGAAAUUCAAGCUGGUGUUCCUGGGGGAGCAAAGCGUUGCAAAGACAUCUUUGAUCACCAGAUUCAUGUAUGACAGUUUUGACAACACCUAUCAGGCAAC
RNAcentral lists this small RNA (558 nucleotides) under Pongo abelii (Sumatran orangutan). RNAcentral's name for it is "retained intron". The record is from RNAcentral. Lineage: Eukaryota; Metazoa; Chordata; Mammalia; Primates; Hominidae.